UACGUAGGGUGCAAGCGUUAAUCGGAAUUACUGGGCGUAAAGCGUGCGCAGGCGGCUUUGCAAGACAGAUGUGAAAUCCCCGGGCUCAACCUGGGAACUGCAUUUGUGACUGCAUGGCUAGAGUACGGCAGAGGGGGAUGGAAUUCCGCGUGUAGCAGUGAAAUGCGUAGAUAUGCGGAGGAACACCGAUGGCGAAGGCAAUCCCCUGGGCCUGUACUGACGCUCAUGCACGAAAGCGUGGGGAGCAAACAGG
RNAcentral lists this ribosomal RNA (253 nucleotides) under uncultured bacterium. RNAcentral's name for it is "partial 16S ribosomal RNA". It matches the Rfam family "Bacterial small subunit ribosomal RNA", at positions 524 to 776 of the family's 1533-position model. The record is from RNAcentral.